RNAcentral lists this unclassified non-coding RNA (348 nucleotides) under Linnemannia elongata. RNAcentral's name for it is "sequence contains 5.8S rRNA gene". The stretch from base 1 to 53 matches the Rfam family "5.8S ribosomal RNA", at positions 102 to 154 of the family's 154-position model. Lineage: Eukaryota; Fungi; Mortierellomycota; Mortierellomycetes; Mortierellales; Mortierellaceae. The record is from RNAcentral.
GAACGCAUAUUGCGCUCUUUGGUAUUCCGAAGAGCAUGCUUGUUUGAGUAUCAGUAAACACCUCAAAGCUUUUGGAUUUUUUAAUCGAAAAGCUUUGGACUUGAGCAAUCCCAACACCAUUCUUUUUAAGAUCGUUGGCGGUUUCCUUGAAAUCCAGGUUCAGCUGGACAUUCUCCUGAGCUAAAAGCAUAUUCAUUUAGUCCCGUCAAACGGAUUAUUACUUUUGCUGCAGCUAACAUAAAGGGAGUUUGACCGUAUUGGCUGACUGAUGCAGGAUUUCACAAGGGUCGGCAACGAUUCUUGUUAAACUCGAUCUCAAAUCAAGUAAGACUACCCGCUGAACUUAAG